CAUAAUUUCACGUGAACUUAAACAAGAAGUAAAUUGACGUGUUCAUGUUUUUAUAAGCCUAUUUCAACUGAUUUUUAUAAUUCGUUCUUAUGUAGUACUGUUAUACCACUGUCUCAGGUUAGGGGAAGGGUUGGGAUCCAGCUAACAUGUUUAACCCCUCCACAUUAUUUAUGAAUGUGCCAGUGCCUGUCCCAAGUCAGGAUCCUGUAAUUCAGUGGUUGUCGUUUGUUUAUGUGUGACAUAUUUGUUUUUCGUUCAUUCUUUUAUAUAAAUAAGACCGUUAGUUUUCUCGUUUGGAUUGUUUUACAUUGUCAUAUAUAUAUAUAUAUCUGACUAUGCGGUAUGGGCUUUGCUCAAUGUUGAAGGCCGUGCGUCGACCUAUAGUUGUUAAUGUCUUUGUCAUUUUGGUCUCUUGUGGACAGUUGUCGCAUUGGCAAUCAUACCACAUCUUCUUUUUUUAUAUUAACGUAUAAGCACGUUUGAGGUAAAAAUUCACGUGAAUUUUAAAUGAGACUUCCCUGCAUAAAAAAAAUAUAUGUAAUUAUUUGGUAGUUAAACUUUGAUCAUAAUUUUUUUUAAAUGUUCUUAAAUGCAUACUAUGCGGUAUGAGCUUUGUUGUAGGCCGUGCGCUGACCUAUAGUUGUUAAUUUUUGGGUCGAUAGUGGUCUCUUGUGGAGAGUUAUCGUAUUGGAAAUCACAUCUUCUUUUUUUUUUCUUUUAUAUAAAAUGUUAUCGGCAAAAAACAUUAUCACUUUUAUCUUUUUUAAUUUUAUUAGCUCAAAAAUCCUUUCAUAUCUUGCAUAUAAAUUCAUAAAAAAAAAGUUAAUUCUAUGAAUUCUUAUAAUUAGUAAACUUAAUUUUGCAUUUGUCAUUUCUUUAUAUAGAUAUAGGAAGAUGUGGUGUGAGUGCCAAUGAGACAAUUCUCUUUCCAAAUAACAAUUUAUUAACGAUGUAAACCAUUAUAGGUUAAUGUAUGGCCUUCAACACGGAGCCUUGGCUCACACCGAACAGCACGCUAUAAAGGGCCCCAAAAUUACUAGUGUAAAAUCAUUAAAACGGGAAAACAUUUGCCUUUUAUGGCUGACUAUGUGGUAUUGGCUUUGCUCAUUGUUGAAGGCCUUACGGUGACUUACAUUUUAUUAAUUUUUCCGUCAGUAGGUCUCUGAUGAACACUAGUAAUGGGAAGUGUUGUCAAAUUGGCAAUCACACCACAUCUUCUUUUAUUAUAUGAUUUGUUGAUUUUGUCAGUUUCUAAUUUUUACAGGAGGGGGGGGGGCGGGAGUGUACACGACAGUUGGUUAGGAAUGCAUUAUCAGCAGUUGAAAAUUGAUUUAUAAUGUAAGCUUUCAAUAUGUUCCCAGUUUACAUAACAAUAGUUGUUUGUUCAUGAUGUCCGGUCUAAGAUCUAUGCCCUAGUUGUACUUGUUGACGUAAAUUGUGGUUUUUCUAUGUCAUUCUGGUUUGGCAUCGUACAAGGGAAAUUUUGGCAGAUACUACCAUCCUUAUGUACUUAUAUUAAAGGUUCAUUAAACCAAGCCACGAUCGUCAUUAAAAUUCAUACUUAGCAGUAGAGUUUGUAAUUGUAUGCCUUAGACGAAAUAGUUUUUUUUUUUUCAUUUCAGUGUCAGAACCGUUUUUGAAAUAUAAAUGUGUCUGUAAUGUAUAGUCACAUACAAUUUUGACCAAAUCAUUGCCACACCAAAUUAUUUCUUCUUCUUCACUGUUAGCUUUAUUUUCCAAAAUUAUUCUGAUAUUUAAUUGCUGAUUGUAUAAUCAGUUAUGUAGUUAUAGCUAACAUGUUGUAACCCUCCUCAUUUUGCAACCCCGUUGACCUUUAACUUUUUUAAAACACCGUCUUGCGACAUGUAUGUACGCCAAAACUCUUAUUUUUUCUGCCUAAUAGCUUUUAAUUCAGAAAUAAGCACAUUAACCAUAUAUUUUUUCUAUAAGUUUGAUAUUACAUUUUUUACUUUCAUGAAAAUGUUGCUUUUUUGAAUUUCGGAAAAAACAACUAUACCUAGAAUGACGUGUUUCUUUCUUGUCGACAAUUGUCCUACAUCCAUCUUUAUUCAUAAAUGUAAAAAAAGGAAGAUAUAACAAGCGGUUAAAUGCAAGUGUAUCUCUAAAAUAUGUAUGAUAAACAGACAAAAGAACAUUUCAAAAUCCGAAAGUCUACCUAUAUACGCGGACAUUGUUCUAUAUAUUAACAUCUCUAUAAAAAGUGCGUGGGAAAAGACCAUUUCAAGACAUUUCCAUUUAAAAAAAUAAAGACAAAUUUGAUGUUAACGUACGCGUUGAAAACAAAAAAAAAGUCAUUAAAUAUGUUCGUCUAUUGUUUUUAUCCUUUUCAGACCUCAAAUGUACAUAUAGUAUGGUUAAAUACUUAUUUCACAAAAAG
RNAcentral lists this long non-coding RNA (2398 nucleotides) under Mytilus galloprovincialis (Mediterranean mussel). Lineage: Eukaryota; Metazoa; Mollusca; Bivalvia; Mytilida; Mytilidae. The record is from RNAcentral.